This 213-nucleotide unclassified non-coding RNA is filed under the name uncultured fungus. Its description in RNAcentral is "sequence contains ITS1, 5.8S rRNA gene". Lineage: Eukaryota; Fungi. The record is from RNAcentral.
UCGAAUUAAAAUCUAGGGAUUGGUUGUAGCUGGCUUCCCUCGGGGGGCACUUGUGCACGCCGUCUCUAUUUUUUUUCAUUCAUCCACACACCCCUUGUGCACUUGUGAGAUGGAAGGGGGGAGCCUUCGCGGGCCCCUUCAUCCGUCUACUUGUCAUAUACAAACCCAAUUUAAUUUAAAUCGAAUGUAAUUGAUGUAACGCAUCAUUUAAAC